Molecule: ribosomal RNA, 200 nt
Filed under: uncultured bacterium
Lineage: Bacteria
Description: partial 16S ribosomal RNA
Rfam family: Bacterial small subunit ribosomal RNA
Source: RNAcentral
GAUGAAUGCUGGCGGCGUGCCUAACACAUGCAAGUCGAGCGGUAAGGCCCUUUCGGGGGUACACGAGCGGCGGACGGCUGAGUAACGCGUGGGAACAUGCCCCAAAGUGAGGGAUAAGCUCCAGAAAUGGAGUCUAAUACCGCAUAUGAUCUUCGGAUUAAAGGAUUUAUCCGCUUUGGGAGUGGCCUGCGUACGAUUAG